CUACGCAGACAGCAGAGCUCCAGCCCUUCAUCUCUGAAUGUGUGUCUCACACCUCCCGGUGCUGAGCUCUGAGGCUCCCAGUGACCUCUUGGUAAUCAGCCUUGGCUGGGUCCAAAUCCCCACCCCUUGGAAAAGUCACGGAGCCUGACGUCUGCCUGUGAGCCGCUUUCAGCAAAGACCUCACAAGCAGCUACUCAAUCUCUUGGUAGCAAAUUGCCAAACCAGGCCCGUUUCCUCAAAAG
Molecule: long non-coding RNA, 242 nt
Filed under: Rattus norvegicus (Norway rat)
Lineage: Eukaryota; Metazoa; Chordata; Mammalia; Rodentia; Muridae
Description: long non-coding RNA NONRATT033890
Source: RNAcentral